UUCGCCCUUAGAGUUUGAUCCUGGCUCAGGACGAACGCUGGCGGCGCGCCUAACACAUGCAAGUCGAACGAGCGAGAGAGAGCUUGCUUUCUCAAGCGAGUGGCGAACGGGUGAGUAACGCGUGAGGAACCUGCCUCAAAGAGGGGGACAACAGUUGGAAACGACUGCUAAUACCGCAUAAGCCCACGGGUCGGCAUCGACCAGAGGGAAAAGGAGCAAUCCGCUUUGAGAUGGCCUCGCGUCCGAUUAGCUAGUUGGUGAGGUAAUGGCCCACCAAGGCGACGAUCGGUAGCCGGACUGAGAGGUUGAACGGCCACAUUGGGACUGAGACACGGCCCAGACUCCUACGGGAGGCAGCAGUGGGGAAUAUUGCACAAUGGGGGAAACCUUGAUGCAGCGACGCCGCGUGGAGGAAGAAGGUCUUCGGAUUGUAAACUCCUGUUGUUGAGGAAGGUAAUGACGGUACUCAACAAGGAAGUGACGGCUAACUACGUGCCAGCAGCCGCGGUAAAACGUAGGUCACAAGCGUUGUCCGGAAUUACUGGGUGUAAAGGGAGCGCAGGCGGGAAGACAAGUUGGAAGUGAAAUCUAUGGGCUCAACCCAUAAACUGCUUUCAAAACUGUUUUUCUUGAGUAGUGCAGAGGUAGGCGGAAUUCCCGGUGUAGCGGUGGAAUGCGUAGAUAUCGGGAGGAACACCAGUGGCGAAGGCGGCCUACUGGGCACCAACUGACGCUGAGGCUCGAAAGUGUGGGUAGCAAACAGGAUUAGAUACCCUGGUAGUCCACACCGUAAACGAUGAUUACAAGGUGUUGGAGGAUGACCCCCUUCAGUGCCGCAGUUAACACAAUAAGUAAUCCACCUGGGGAGUACGACGGCAAGGUUGAAAACUCAAAAGGAAUUGACGGGGGCCCGCACAAGCAGUGGAGUAUGUGGUUUAAUUCGACGCAACGCGAAGAACCUUACCAAGUCUUGACAUCCUGCGACGAUGCUGGAAACAGUAUUUUCCUUCGGGACGCAGAGACAGGUGGUGCAUGGUUGUCGUCAGCUCGUGUCGUGAGAUGUUGGGUUAAGUCCCGCAACGAGCGCAACCCUUACUGUCAGUUACUACGCAAGAGGACUCUGGCAGGACUGCCGUUGACAAAACGGAGGAAGGUGGGGAUGACGUCAAAUCAUCAUGCCCUUUAUGACUUGGGCUACACACGUACUACAAUGGCGUUAAACAAAGAGAAGCAAGACCGCGAGGUGGAGCAAAACUCAGAAACAACGUCCCAGUUCGGACUGCAGGCUGCAACUCGCCUGCACGAAGUCGGAAUUGCUAGUAAUCGUGGAUCAGCAUGCCACGGUGAAUACGUUCCCGGGCCUUGUACUCACCGCCCGUCA
This 1381-nucleotide ribosomal RNA is filed under the name uncultured bacterium. RNAcentral describes it as "16S ribosomal RNA". It matches the Rfam family "Bacterial small subunit ribosomal RNA". The record is from RNAcentral.